CCCUUAGAUGUUCUGGGCCGCACGCGCGCUACACUGACGAUGGCAACGAGUUAUUCCUUCGCCGAAAGGUGUGGGUAAUCUUUUGAAACAUCGUCGUGCUGGGGAUAGAUCAUUGCAAUUUUUGAUCUUGAACGAGGAAUUCCUAGUAAGCGCGAGUCAUCAGCUCGCGUUGAUUACGUCCCUGCCCUUUGUACACACCGCCCGUCGCUACUACCGAUUGAAUGGUUUAGUGAGGACUCCUGAUUGGCGCCGCCGCCCCGGCAACGGAGCAGCGGACUGCCGAAAAGUUGUUCAAACUUGAUCAUUUAGAGGAAGUAAAAGUCGUAACA
RNAcentral lists this ribosomal RNA (329 nucleotides) under uncultured eukaryote. RNAcentral's name for it is "partial 18S ribosomal RNA". It matches the Rfam family "Eukaryotic small subunit ribosomal RNA", at positions 1470 to 1796 of the family's 1831-position model. The record is from RNAcentral.